RNAcentral lists this ribosomal RNA (253 nucleotides) under uncultured bacterium. RNAcentral's name for it is "partial 16S ribosomal RNA". It matches the Rfam family "Bacterial small subunit ribosomal RNA", at positions 524 to 776 of the family's 1533-position model. The record is from RNAcentral.
UACGGAGGGUGCGAGCGUUAAUCGGAAUUACUGGGCGUAAAGCGUGCGCAGGCGGUCUUGCAAGACAGAUGUGAAAUCCCCGGGCUCAACCUGGGAACUGCAUUUGUGACUGCAAGGCUGGAGUACGGUAGAGGGGGAUGGAAUUCCGCGUGUAGCAGUGAAAUGCGUAGAUAUGCGGAGGAACACCGAUGGCGAAGGCAAUCCCCUGGACCUGUACUGACGCUCAUGCACGAAAGCGUGGGGAGCAAACAGG